AUGCAGCGACGCAGCGUGCGGGAUGACGGCCUUCGGGUUGUAAACCGCUUUCAGCAGGGAAGAAGCGCAAGUGACGGUACCUGCAGAAGAAGUACCGGCUAACUACGUGCCAGCAGCCGCGGUAAUACGUAGGGUACGAGCGUUGUCCGGAAUUAUUGGGCGUAAAGAGCUCGUAGGUGGUUGGUCACGUCUGCUGUGGAAACGCAACGCUUAACGUUGCGCGUGCAGUGGGUACGGGCUGACUAGAGUGCAGUAGGGGAGUCUGGAAUUCCUGGUGUAGCGGUGAAAUGCGCAGAUAUCAGGAGGAACACCGGUGGCGAAGGCGGGACUCUGGGCUGUAACUGACACUGAGGAGCGAAAGCAUGGGGAGCGAACAGGAUUAGAUACCCUGGUAGUCCAUGCCGUAAACGUUGGGCACUAGGUGUGGGGGGCAUUCCACGUUCUCCGCGCCGUAGCUAACGCAUUAAGUGCCCCGCCUGGGGAGUACGGUCGCAAGGCUAAAACUCAAAGGAAUUGACGGGGGCCCGCACAAGCGGCGGAGCAUGCGGAUUAAUUCGAUGCAACGCGAAGAACCUUACCAAGGCUUGACAUACACCGGACCGUCCUGGAAACAGGUCCUCUUCUUUGAAGCUGGUGUACAGGUG
Molecule: ribosomal RNA, 644 nt
Filed under: Brevibacterium sp.
Lineage: Bacteria; Bacillati; Actinomycetota; Actinomycetes; Micrococcales; Brevibacteriaceae
Description: bacterial SSU rRNA
Rfam family: Bacterial small subunit ribosomal RNA
Source: RNAcentral